GAAAGUCCGGGCCUCACAGAGCAGGAUAACGGCUAACGGCCGCCGAGGGCAACCUUAGGGAAAGUGCAACAGAGAUAUACCGCCUGCUUCACGCAGGUAAGGGUGGAAAGGCGAGGUAAGAGCUCACCGGCCGGCGGGGAACCGACCGGCCCUGUAAACCCUAUCCGAGGCAACACCGACGGGAGAAGCUUGCUCGGCUGAUUCUCCGACGGGUGGCUGGAGCCUUGCGGCAACGCAAGGCGUAGAUAGAUAGCUGCCUUCAAUGACAGAACCCGGCUUACAGAUUCGCUU
Molecule: RNase P RNA, 291 nt
Filed under: bovine gut metagenome
Description: Bacterial RNase P class A
Rfam family: Bacterial RNase P class A
About the family: Ribonuclease P (RNase P) is a ubiquitous endoribonuclease, found in archaea, bacteria and eukarya as well as chloroplasts and mitochondria. Its best characterised activity is the generation of mature 5'-ends of tRNAs by cleaving the 5'-leader elements of precursor-tRNAs.
Source: RNAcentral